GAUGAACGCUGGCGGCGUGCCUAAUACAUGCAAGUCGAGCGAACAGACGAGGAGCUUGCUCCUCUGACGUUAGCGGCGGACGGGUGAGUAACACGUGGAUAACCUACCUAUAAGACUGGGAUAACUUCGGGAAACCGGAGCUAAUACCGGAUAAUAUAUUGAACCGCAUGGUUCAAUAGUGAAAGACGGUUUUGCUGUCACUUAUAGAUGGAUCCGCGCCGCAUUAGCUAGUUGGUAAGGUAACGGCUUACCAAGGCAACGAUGCGUAGCCGACCUGAGAGGGUGAUCGGCCACACUAGAACUGAGACACGGUCCAGACUCCUACGGGAGGCAGCAGUAGGGAAUCUUCCGCAAUGGGCGAAAGCCUGACGGAGCAACGCCGCGUGAGUGAUGAAGGUCUUCGGAUCGUAAAACUCUGUUAUUAGUGAAGAACAAAUGUGUAAGUAACUAUGCACGUCUUGACGGUACCGAAUCAGAAAGCCACGGCUAACUACGUG
This 497-nucleotide ribosomal RNA is filed under the name uncultured bacterium. RNAcentral describes it as "partial 16S ribosomal RNA". It matches the Rfam family "Bacterial small subunit ribosomal RNA", at positions 28 to 507 of the family's 1533-position model. The record is from RNAcentral.